AAAUUGAAGAGUUUGAUCAUGGCUCAGAUUGAACGCUGGCGGCAGGCCUAACACAUGCAAGUCGAACGGUAACAGAAAGCAGCUUGCUGCUUUGCUGACGAGUGGCGGACGGGUGAGUAAUGUCUGGGAAACUGCCUGAUGGAGGGGGAUAACUACUGGAAACGGUAGCUAAUACCGCAUAACGUCGCAAGACCAAAGAGGGGGACCUUCGGGCCUCUUGCCAUCGGAUGUGCCCAGAUGGGAUUAGCUUGUUGGUGGGGUAACGGCUCACCAAGGCGACGAUCCCUAGCUGGUCUGAGAGGAUGACCAGCCACACUGGAACUGAGACACGGUCCAGACUCCUACGGGAGGCAGCAGUGGGGAAUAUUGUACAAUGGGCGCAAGCCUGAUGCAGCCAUGCCGCGUGUAUGAAGAAGGCCUUCGGGUUGUAAAGUACUUUCAGCGGGGAGGAAGGGAGUAAAGUUAAUACCUUUGCUCAUUGACGUUACCCGCAGAAGAAGCACC
Molecule: ribosomal RNA, 504 nt
Filed under: Escherichia coli
Lineage: Bacteria; Pseudomonadati; Pseudomonadota; Gammaproteobacteria; Enterobacterales; Enterobacteriaceae
Description: bacterial SSU rRNA
Rfam family: Bacterial small subunit ribosomal RNA
Source: RNAcentral